UAUCUCUGUAGAGUCUGCAUAUCAAUAAGCGGAGGAAAAGAAACUAACUAGGAUUCCCUUAGUAACGGCGAGUGAAGCGGGAAGAGCUCAAAUUUGAAAUCUUCAAGGUUCUACCUUGACGAAUUGUAGUUUAAAGAAGUGUUUUCUGUUGGAGUUUUGGUAAAAGUUCUUUGGAAUAGGACAUCAUAGAGGGUGAGAAUCCCGUAUUUGACCAUUAUUUCCAGCUUUGUGAUACACUUUCAAAGAGUCGGAUUGUUUGGGAAUGCAGUCCAAAAUGGGUGGUAAAUUUCAUCUAAAGCUAAAUAUUGGCGAGAGACCGAUAGCGAACAAGUACCGUGAGGGAAAGAUGAAAAGAACUUUGAAAAGAGAGUUAAACAGUACGUGAAAUUGUCAAAAGGGAAGCGUUUGACACCAGUGUUGUUUUCUCGAAAAUCAAUUAAAAAAAGUUGGAUUUUGUAUUGUUAAAACCUUAUCAGCUUACUGUACUCUUUUCUUGCUUUUUUUAAUGCACUUUUCGUUUAACAAGUCAACAUCAAUUUCUUUUGUUGUAAAAGAGUCAUUGGAAGGUGGCUCUCACUUCGGUGAAAGUGCUUAUAGCCUUUGGCUUCUGCAAUCGGAGAGAUUGAGGUCUGCAGCGUAGAUCCUUCGGGGCUAGAUACGUAGAUGCCAAGUUAUAGUUUUUUAUAGACAACUUGUUGACUAUAAUUAAUCGUGUAGCUUACUCGUUUGCGCUAUUUUACCUACGCUUAGGAUGUUGACGAUCAGCUGAGCGCG
Molecule: ribosomal RNA, 774 nt
Filed under: uncultured Neocallimastigales
Lineage: Eukaryota; Fungi; Neocallimastigomycota; Neocallimastigomycetes; Neocallimastigales
Description: partial large subunit ribosomal RNA
Rfam family: Eukaryotic large subunit ribosomal RNA
Source: RNAcentral